This is a long non-coding RNA of Papaver somniferum (opium poppy), 204 nucleotides long. RefSeq lists it as uncharacterized. The transcript has 3 exons. NCBI's taxonomy places the organism in Eukaryota, Viridiplantae, Streptophyta, Magnoliopsida, Ranunculales, Papaveraceae. The record is from RefSeq and is a predicted model, not a curated record.
ACACCAUGGAAAAACUGUUGGAGCUGGCUGAGGUAGCACAUCUCAAAGAAAAAAUUGGCAAAAUGUAUAGCGGAGAACAUAUAAACAGCACUGAGGAUAGAUCUGUUCUCCAUGUGGCUCUACGUGCUCCAAGAGAUGUUGUUAUGUCCAGUGAUGGGAUAAAUGUAGUUCCAUAGGUUUGGAAGGUUUUCGACAAGAUCAACG